This 253-nucleotide ribosomal RNA is filed under the name uncultured bacterium. Its description in RNAcentral is "partial 16S ribosomal RNA". It matches the Rfam family "Bacterial small subunit ribosomal RNA", at positions 524 to 776 of the family's 1533-position model. The record is from RNAcentral.
UACGUAGGGGGCAAGCGUUGUCCGGAUUUAUUGGGCGUAAAGAGCGUGUAGGCGGCCAGGUAGGUCCGUUGUGAAAACUCGAGGCUCAACCUCGAGACGUCGAUGGAAACCAUCUGGCUAGAGUCCGGAAGAGGAGAGUGGAAUUCCUGGUGUAGCGGUGAAAUGCGCAGAUAUCAGGAAGAACACCCGUGGCGAAGGCGGCCCUCUGGGACGGUACUGACGCUGAGACGCGAAAGCGUGGGGAGCGAACAGG